GAUGAACGCUGGCGGCGUGCCUAAUACAUGCAAGUCGAGCGAACAGAUGAGGAGCUUGCUCCUCUGACGUUAGCGGCGGACGGGUGAGUAACACGUGGAUAACCUACCUAUCAGACUGGGAUAACUUCGGGAAACCGGAUCUAAUACCGGAUAAUAUAUUGAACCGCAUUGUUCAAUAGUGAAAGACGGUUUUGCUGUCACUUAUAGAUGGAUCCGCGCCGCAUUAGCUAGUUGUUAAGGUAACGGCCUACCAAGGCAACGAUGCGUAGCCGACCUCAUAGGGGGGUAGGCCACAUGGGAACUGGGACACGGUCAAGUCGCCUACGGGAGGCAGCAGUAGGGAAUCGUCCGCAAUGGGCGAAAGCAUGACGGAGCAACGCCGAGUGAGUGAUGAAGGUCCUCGGAUCGUAAAGCUCUGUUAUUAGGGAAGAACAAAUGUGUAAGUAACUAUGCACGUCGUGACGGUAACUAAUCAGAAAGCCACGGCUAACUACGUG
This 497-nucleotide ribosomal RNA is filed under the name uncultured bacterium. Its description in RNAcentral is "partial 16S ribosomal RNA". It matches the Rfam family "Bacterial small subunit ribosomal RNA", at positions 28 to 507 of the family's 1533-position model. The record is from RNAcentral.